AACGCGAAGAACCUUACCCGGGUUUAAAUUGCAGUGGUUGUAGUCGUCAGAGAUGAUGGCGAGGGGGCAACCCCGCUGCUGUGAAGGUGCUGCAUGGCUGUCGUCAGCUCGUGCCGUGAGGUGUUGGGUUAAGUCCCGCAACGAGCGCAACCCUUAUCUUUAGUUGCCAGCAUGUUAUGGUGGGCACUCUGGAGAGACUGCCGACACAAGUCGGAGGAAGGUGGGGAUGACGUCAAGUCAGCAUGGCCCUUACGUCCGGGGCUACACACGUGCUACAAUGGCCGGUACAACGGGCAGCGAGACCGCGAGGUGGAGCGAAUCCCUUUAAAGCCGGCCUCAGUUCGGAUUGCAGGCUGCAACUCGCCUGCAUGAAGUUGGAAUCACUAGUAACCGCAGAUCAGCUACGCUGUGGUGAAUACGUUCCCGGGCCUUGUACACACCGCACGA
RNAcentral lists this ribosomal RNA (447 nucleotides) under uncultured bacterium. RNAcentral's name for it is "bacterial SSU rRNA". It matches the Rfam family "Bacterial small subunit ribosomal RNA", at positions 958 to 1397 of the family's 1533-position model. The record is from RNAcentral.